This 7384-nucleotide long non-coding RNA is filed under the name Homo sapiens (human). Its description in RNAcentral is "non-protein coding LINC-PINT:69". Lineage: Eukaryota; Metazoa; Chordata; Mammalia; Primates; Hominidae. The record is from RNAcentral.
GGGAUUUCGGGCUCCAGCAGCACGCAGCCUCCAGUCUUGAGUGACUCCUGGGCUUUGGCUCAGCAGUAACUCCUCCAUAAAAACAAGUGUGUGCAUCUGGCUGUUAGAAGAAUUCAUGCUCAUCCGGGAAAAAUGAGGAAGCUGUGAGUACCAGUGGAAGGAACGAGCCAGGAAGAGGGACUGGAACCAUCUCAGAAGCCAUGCCCCUCAGGCUGGAACUUGCCCUGUCUCCUCGCAGAUGAGACAGACGUUUAAGUACGAGAAAGCUAAUGGCGCAGAUUCUGCUGACUGUGUGGCUCUCGUCUUAAUGCGUUUUCCAACCUUGAACCUGAGAAUGCCAGAGGAUUGAGUCUCUGGACGUUCAUCUGAGCAGAUAUCUGCUGGCCGCCUGGUUCCUGAGCUAACAAGUGGGUGUCCCGGGCUUGUGUGUGUAGUCACAACAGUGGAGGUGCCACGUGGCACCCAGAGGUCGACUGGGGCUACCGCGGGGCUUCCCGAUCCUCACAAGUGUGUCUUCAGUGUCUGACAUGAACUGGGAACUUGGGGCAUCUUUAGAAGCACAGACAUUUGGAGUUCCACGGCAAACCUGGAUGUAAGCACUCACACAGCUUUUAAAGUGAAAGCAGGGACCUUGAGGAAGGAAUCGCCGUCAUCUCAUUGCCGACCUGCUUACUGUGCUGGGAAACAAAGUAAGUUCUGUUUGUUUCUUUGUUAGUCUCUCCUGCGUGUUUUUUCUUGCUAAUGUUAUUAGACACUCAAUAUCCGGCAAAUGCCAAGUUUUUUCCCCUUCAUUGGGAAGUAGGAUAUAGUUUAUUCAAUAGCUGAUUGCUUCUUUUAUCUUUUCCCUCUUCCCAUAUCUAGUGUGCCGGCUUGCUGUUUAGAGAUAGGAAGAGAUUGAAAUUUAUUAUCAAGGAGAAAACAAAAAGUGUUUUGUUUUGUUUCUAAAUGGUCCAAGAACUUUGCCAUUAGGUAAAUGACUAUGACACAGACAAGGCGUUUUGCAUGGUAUGACCAGGAGCACCUCUAGCAAAACAGCCCCAGUUCGCCGCCCUGAUUUCCAUUUGGAAGCAGGCACAGUGGGUUUCCCCAGGACCGAUGUUAACGCAGAGGGUCCUUGUGCAGGAAUUGUGCAGAAACUAGGUGGGAAGGUGUCACAGACAAGAGGCUGCAAUUUAAAAACGCAUCAGGAAAUGGAAAAGAGCUGCGAGAAUAUCAAUUAUUUAAUGAUGUUGAUAAAAACAAAUUUAAUAUAAAAAUGAGAUACAAUGUAUAGAGACCUAACCCUGUCAACAGCAACUAAACUUUACUUUCAUGUUAGAAAGUUUUGUGCCAUGUAGAUUUAUGGAAAAUGUGCUUAAUUGCCUCUAGAAAAUAAUGAAGAGGCUUCGUCACCUCCAUAGAAGAUCCUGUGACACUAGCCUAAUUCUGACACAUGGCUCCUGUUUUCCAUUUUGUUUGUUUUUUUAUGCUGAUCCUCUCUCCAGAGAUGUGAUGUGGAUUGAUUAACUUGUAAUAUAAAGUUCUAUGGUUUCUGAAAAUGCAGAGCAAAUAGAGAUGAAGAGUGGUUUGUGAUUUGUUAUUAAAUGAUCUUCCCUUCUACAUUUAGGACUGAUUUUUACUGUAGAAUUUUUUUUUUUUUUUUUUUUUUUUUUUUUUGUCAACUUGAACAGCAAUACCUUGAAGGUAAAAGGUGGGAGCACGACUGGAGUGUGGAACUGGAAAGCAGAAACCAGGGGUGUUACUUCUAUGUCUAGUAUGGAAUGUUGUGAAUUUAAGUUAGAGCUUCUGUGUCCUGGGAAUUCAUAUUUUAUCUCAAAGUGGUGCUGAUAGGACUGGAGGUAGCUGUAUUUCAUUUGAAACAUUCCAGCCUCUUUAUAGGAAUAUCUGUGAAUUUUUAAUUCAGCAAACAUCUUUAAGUGUGUCAUUUAUGUAUAGCGUUGUAGUCAGAGCUGUAAUUGUUUCACCAUUAAAUUUACGGAAAUUCAGUUUGUAAGUGAAAAAUUAAGAACAGUUUGAAAGAAGGGCGAAUGAGCAGAGCAUUGCCAUCUAAACAGUCUUGUUAAAGAUAGUGCCAAGUGAGCAGGACUGUCCCUUCUAAGCUGCCCCUCCUAAUUAAAGGGAAAGGUGGCUGCCAUCUGUCUUCUUUCAUUCAAGGCAGUAGGGGGUCUAGGGUGGAAGGAAGCAACCCCCACUUUAUUUUUCUCCCACUCUUUUUUAUAGUCAGCUUUCUCCCUAGUCAGUGACCCAGAAGGUCAUUGAUGAUCUGUCUAUCUCAGAAUGAAUAGUAGCAUAAGCACGCUUGGCACUUGCAAAAAAAAGAAAGUUUAUAACAUGCACUGAUCCAUUUAAAGUUCUGCUUGAAUUAUGUCUGAGAGUAUUGUAAUCUCUGUAUUGGUGUCUCUGCCCUGUUUGUUACCAAGGGCACUACUGGCAGGAAAAGUGGGGAGUUUUACUUUUAUUGAUUUUGCUUUUUCAUGAAAAAAUGUUUACACUCCACUGGGCAUAAUCAGAAGAUGGCAGCACAUGGCUAUGUACAGGAGAUGUGGGGAUGUACAGGAAUAUUGUUCUUAUCAAAAUCAAGGACACCUAUUAAUGAUGAUACAUAUAUGUCAUCUCAGGGGAAAGCAUGAACAAGCAUGGCAACAGAUGUCCAAGUUACUCAGUGGCCUGCUGCAGCUUUUUGGACCAGUUAUUGAAAUAAUUCACAUUGUUUAGCUUUUGUUAAGCAAUAAGGCUUUUAGCCUUUUUCUUGUAAGAAUACGUUGCAGGAGAGUUUAGUUUGGGGUCAUGUCUUCAUUGCUUUGGAAAUGUAGAAUAGUCCUCCAACAAAAUGACUGCAUUUGCUUGCCUUCGUUUCCACCUCUGUAAAUAGAAGAAAUAUCUGCUGUUUUUAUAAAUAUAUAAGAGAAUAUGAAAUAUUUUCCAUCUUUCAUAAGAACUGUGUUAUAACUGAAAAAUUCUCAAAUCUUCAGUUAUGUUUAUUUUCAAUUUUUACACACUUAAGCAAGGUGUUAACAGUCUUCUAAAGAGAUUCAGUUGUUACAAGCCUUGUUUAGUUCCCAAGUAGCAGGUAUGGACUUCUCAGAACAUACUGGUUUUUAGAACUCUCUUUGUGACACAGAAGUGUGGUAUUUCUUAAACCCAUAACAAUAUAUUUGGAGAGCUCAAAUGUGAAAGUCAUGUCUGUAAUUUUAUUUAGAGCUUUUUUUUUUUUUUUUUUUUCCAAAUUUGUCACCAACUUGCAACGAGCUUUCUUGGAAACAUAGACGUGUUUAUGUUGUUGAGUCUUGAGAUGAACAUGUGUGGGCUUCUGACGACACUGAUGCCCAGUUUGUAUGAUUGGAUGAUACCUGAAAAGUGGGUCACUUCCUAGUCAGUGAAGGGUACACAGGGCUGAAUAGGCAGGGCUUUUUGGCUUUUUCCGUGCUUUUGUUUUUGUUUUUGGUGUGUGUGUGUACUAAUUUUAGAUACUCAGCUAGGUACUUGACUGGCUAUCCUUUUUAGCAUGUGAUUUAAUUUGGUUUUACCCAUCAGUAUUUAUUUCAAGGGGACUAAAUAAACACAUUAAAUGAAGCACUUAAGAACUUUCUAUCUUCUUUUGACUAUCCACAGCGGUGGGAAAUCUCUGUCCUUUGAGGGUAGGAGGGAGCCAAUAGUUAGGUCUCAUGAAUAUGGUAGGUGAUCAAACCACUGAUUCAAGUCAUUGUUUCAUGUUAUAAACAUGGACUGAGCCAGCUACUACAUUUCAGUAGAAGGUACUGUAGAUUCAAAAGUGAACAUGGGUCUGGCAUUUCAGAAAGACACAGGUUAGUGAGAUAAAUGACUAUAAAAAGAGGUAGCACUGUAGACUGAUGUCCUGUAACAGAGGUACACGUGUGCUGUUAGAGCCAAGAGGGGGUCAAAAUAAAAAGACAGGGCACGGUGGCUCAUACCUGUGAUCCCAGCACUUUAGGAGGCUGAGGUGGGAGGAUCACUUGAGGCCAGGAGUUCAAGACCAGCCUGGGCAACAUAGAUCCCCAUCUCUACAAAAAAAUAAAAUAAAAUAAAAAAAUAAGCCACACAUGGUGGCAUGCAUCUAUAGUCCUAGCUACUUGGGAGGCUGAGGCAGGAGGAUCCCUUGAGCCCUGGAGUUGAAGGCUAUAGUGAGCUAUGAUCACACCACUGCACUCUAGCCUGAGCGACAGAACAAGAUCCCAUCUCUGAAAAAAUGGAUGAGUGAAUUAAAUUUCAAAAUAGAGAUUUAAUGGAAAAAUGAGAAUUGUUGUGUACAUGAUUUAUGAAGUGGCUUACAUAAUAUAAUUUUGGACAUGAAAGCCCUGAAAAAUAGCUUCUUAUUUUAAGGAUGAACAGACUGGGAUUUAUUUCUGAAAUUCUAUAAUUCUCAGUCAGUUGUAAGGCUUUCAUUAUAUAAUAGACUUUUUUUUUUAACCAACGGAAGUUGGACCUCUUCAAAAUGUGAGAUCCAAAAAGGUUUUGGAUAUUGUUUGAAUAACUCUCUUCUCCAAAGGAGACUGUUUUUGAAAAAUGAUUCUUUCUGACAUGUUAAAAUUGAAUAUUUUUGACACGCCAAAUGCACCAAAGUAUUAUAUGUCAUGUUUAUUGCCGAGAGUAGCUAUAUAGCUUGUGGGAGACAGUUAACGUGAAGCUUUCUUGCAUCUGGAAGUAUGGGGAGAGAGAAGGCUUCUUCACACCCCCUUUCAUGUUAUAUUCUACAGGGAAAGAAUUUCUAUCAUGUAGACACUAGGUGACUCCCUUGUGGAUAAUUUCAUUUAACAAUGAUUUCUGGGUGUUGCUCUAUGCCAGGCACUGUUCUAGGAGCUGAUGCGAAGGCUCAGCUGAUGGGCUACAGACCUGAAGGCCUGUGCUCCUCAGUGGCACUCUGUAGGUAGAUACAGAGCCACCAUCUACUGGGUGCUUCUCCUGAGUGUGACAGUGUAGGCUGGGACACGAUGCUACCCUUCAAGGAGCUUGAAGCUAAGGUUCUGUGCACAGAUAAAAUUAGAAUAAAUGCAGAGAUGCUAUAACAAGAUGUCUUAGAAAAAAGAAAAACAAAGAAUAAAUGCAGAGAGAAAGAGAAAUGUAUAAAAGGUAGAGAGAUAAACAUACCACAAGUUCAUAGAAAAGAAAGGUUGUGUGUUUAUCUGUGGCUGGGAUGAUCAAGAAAUGCUUCAUGGAUAAAGAGCCUUUGAGCCAGACAUUGAAAGAAAGGUAAUGUUGGACUUGAGGUCUUGGAGUAUCCUCGUUGAAGGAAACAUGAGCAAAGGCAUAGGUAGGGAUGGGAAAUGCCGGGGUGCAGAGUGGGCAGGAAUCGAUUUGUAGUUGCUGGGCAAUGAUGUGUGUAAACCACUAAGGAGAAGAUCAGGUAGCAAAGGUCCUUGGAGGCCAGAACCCAGAGGGCCUUGAAUGGCACGUGACUAAAUGAUUUAAACUUAAGUUACUGGGGAGCAAUGGAAGAAUUUGAGUGGCUAGAGUCCCCAUCCUGAAGAGGCCUUGCGGGGAUCAGCAUGUGGGUGCCUCUGGACUGUGAAAUAGCCAGAGCUGGGAAGCCUUUUAGAGCUGCUGUUGUGGUCCAGGAGGGAGGUGGGGAGGGCCUGGGUGAGGGGAAGGCCACUAGAUGGAGAAAUUGAAUUUAUGAGAUGGGAUUUAGGAACUGCCUAGAUAAUAGGGGUUGGCCGAUGGGAAGCAAAAAUGCCCCCAGAGCUUUGAACCCAGGUGCCAUUCAUUAUUUCUAUGCCAUCUGCCAGGCAUUGCAUAGCUAUUAUCUCAUUUAAUCUCCUCCUAAUCUUGUGGGUUGGUAUUUUCAUCCUUAUAUCAGAGACGAGAAAACUAAGGGUCAGAGAAAAUUAGCAAUUGGUCUAAAAUUGUACAGUUGUAACAGGAUCUAGAACAGGGACUUCAGUACAGGCCUCCCUGACCCCCAAGCCUGUGUUCUUUCUACUGUACUAGGCUUGGAAGACAGCGUACGUGAGAGCAAAGACAAGCUCUGUCCACUCUGUGCAUAUUCAGUGUAGGUGCUGGUGAGAUUCCCGCCUUCAGGUGUCCAGCAAGUGGUUGGAGACAUGGAGCCGAAUCUCAAGGACAUUGGGAGGAUUGAAGGUCAAGGCUUAAGAACCAUCUGCAUCCUCAUUUAUUUAUUCAGCAGCUAUUUGUUGUGUCUUCGUGGACCAGCUUGGCAGCAUGAAUGCUGUGACCAACAAGAGAGGUGUGUCCUUCACGGAGCUGCCAGGCUGGGAGGGAGCCCUGAUGGCGUGGCUUGAGUGUAAGGCAGGAGGUGUGCAGAUUGGCUGUGGGAACUUACUGGCCUAACCUUGUCAGGUCAGGGAAGCUCUCUAGAGGCAGUUGUGGUUCUCAACAUGAGACUCAAAUGAUGAGGACCCAGUUAAAAAGUGGGAAAACAGCAUACCCCAGGCCGUGGAAGUAGCGCGUACUCAGGCAGAGCAAGAUAAGAACACAGUGUCUUUAAACCAAAAACCACGUGUGGCUGGAAUGGAGGGAAGAGCAAGGAGAUAAGACAGGUGAGCAGGAACCAGAACAAGAAAUGCCCUGGAAGCUGUGAGACGCUUGGAAUUCACCUGUGAAGAAAAGAGUAGCCUCAUCUGAAUUCCUUGCCUCGAUUAUGGUCUCCAAUAGAAGAUUAAAUGGCUGUGGAGUCUAGAGGUUUUUUCCUUCGGUGUGGGCAUCACCCCUUCUGAAAGGAUGGUGUAAUGGCUAAUUGUAUGUAUCAGCUUGGCGAGGCCACAGUACCCAGAUACUUGGUCAAGCACCAGUCUAGAUGUCGCUGUGCAGGUAGUUUUUUAGAUGAGGUUUAACAUUUAUAUCAGUAGAAGGAGUGAAGCAGAUUAUCCUUUGUAAUGUAUGUAGGCCUCAUAUAUCAUCAGUUGAAGGCCUUAAGAGAAAAAGAUUGAAGUCCCUAAAGAAGAAGGAACUCUGUCUCCAGUCUCCCUUCAGACUCAAGACUGCAACAUCGGCCUGGCACGGUGGCUCACGCCUGUAAUCCCAGCACUUUGGGAGGCUGAGAUGGGUGGAUCGCUUGAGAUCAGGAGUUCAAGACCAGCCUGGCCAACAUGGCAAAAACCUGUCUCUAUUUAAAAACACAAAAAUUAGUUGGGCAUGGUGGCAGGCGCCUGUAGUCCCAGCUACUUGGGAGGCUGCGGCAUGAGAAUCACUUGAACCCAGGAGGCAGAGGUUGCAGUGAGCUGAGAUCAUGUAACUGCACUCUAGCCUGGGCGACAGAGUGAGACUCUGUCUCAAAAAAAAAAAAAAAAAGACUGCAACAUCAACUCUUCCCUUGGUCACCAGCAUGCCCUGAAGAUUGUGGAUUUGUCAGUCCCUGUAAUUGCAUGAGCCAGUUCCUUAAGGUAAAUAUCAGUAUCUACCCCCACCC